CAGGGAUUACCUCAGUAACGGCGAGUGAAGCGGUAAAAGCUCAAAUUUGAAAUCUGGCUCUUUCAGAGUCCGAGUUGUAAUUUGUAGAAGAUGCUUCGGGUGUGGUUCCGGUCUAAGUUCCUUGGAACAGGACGUCAUAGAGGGUGAGAAUCCCGUAUGUGACUGGAUACCUACGCUCAUGUGAAGCUCUUUCGACGAGUCGAGUUGUUUGGGAAUGCAGCUCAAAAUGGGUGGUAUAUUUCAUCUAAAGCUAAAUAUUGGCCAGAGACCGAUAGCGCACAAGUAGAGUGAUCGAAAGAUGAAAAGCACUUUGGAAAGAGAGUUAAACAGUACGUGAAAUUGUUGAAAGGGAAGCGCUUGCAAUCAGACUUGCACUUGGUGUUCAGCAGGGUUUCUACCCUGUGUAUUCAUCAAGUUCAGGCCAGCAUCAGUUUGGGUGGUUAGAUAAAGGCCUAGAGAAUGUGGCCCUCUUCGGGGGGUGUUAUAGCUCUAGGUGCAAUGUAGCCUACCUGGACUGAGGACCGCGCUUCGGCUAGGAUGCUGGCGUAAUGGUUGUAAGCGACCCGUCUUGAAACACGGACCAAGGAGUGUACCUAAUAUGCGAGUGUUUGGGUGUUAAACCCAUACGCGUAAUGAAAGUGAACGGAGGUGAGAACCCUUAAGGGUGCAUCAUCGACCGAUCCUGAUGUCUUCGGAUGGAUUUGAGUAAGAGCAUAUUGGGUGCGACCCGAAAGAUGGUGAUCUAUACGUGAAUAGGGUGAAGCCAGAGGAAACUCUGGUGGAGGCUCGCAGCGGUUCUGACGUGCAAAUCGAUCGUCAAAUUUGCGUAUAGGGGCGAAAGACUA
This 845-nucleotide ribosomal RNA is filed under the name Dumontinia tuberosa. Its description in RNAcentral is "LSU rRNA". It matches the Rfam family "Eukaryotic large subunit ribosomal RNA", at positions 69 to 933 of the family's 3401-position model. The record is from RNAcentral. Lineage: Eukaryota; Fungi; Ascomycota; Leotiomycetes; Helotiales; Sclerotiniaceae.